Molecule: ribosomal RNA, 820 nt
Filed under: uncultured bacterium
Lineage: Bacteria
Description: bacterial SSU rRNA
Rfam family: Bacterial small subunit ribosomal RNA
Source: RNAcentral
AGAGUUUGAUCCUGGCUCAGGAUGAACGCUAGCGACAGGCUUAACACAUGCAAGUCGAGGGGCAGCGGGGGAGUAGCAAUACUCCCGCCGGCGACCGGCGCACGGGUGAGUAACACGUAUGAAACCUGCCCGUAGCAGGGGGGGAUAAGCGGAAGAAAUUCCGUCUAAUACCGCGUAACAACCCUUGGAGGCAUCUCCUCGGGUUUAAAGGAAGCGAUUCCGGCUACGGAUGGUCAUGCGUCGCAUUAGCUGGUUGGCGGGGUAACGGCCCACCAAGGCGACGAUGCGUAGGGGUUCUGAGAGGAAGGUCCCCCACACUGGUACUGAGACACGGACCAGACUCCUACGGGAGGCAGCAGUGAGGAAUAUUGGUCAAUGGCCGCAGGGCUGAACCAGCCAAGUCGCGUGAGGGAUGACGGUCCUAUGGAUUGUAAACCUCUUUUGUCAGGGAGCAAAGGGCGCCACGUGUGGCGCUUUGCGAGUACCUGAAGAAAAAGCAUCGGCUAACUCCGUGCCAGCAGCCGCGGUAAUACGGAGGAUGCGAGCGUUACCCGGAUUUAUUGGGUUUAAAGGGUGCGCAGGCGGAAUGUCAAGUCAGCGGUAAAAUUGCGGGGCUCAACCCCGUCGAGCCGUUGAAACUGGCAGACUUGAGUUGGCGAGAAGUACGCGGAAUGCGCGGUGUAGCGGUGAAAUGCAUAGAUAUCGCGCAGAACUCCGAUUGCGAAGGCAGCGUACCGGCGCCAGACUGACGCUGAGGCACGAAAGCGUGGGGAUCGAACAGGAUUAGAUACCCUGGUAGUCCACGCAGUAAACGAUGAAU